UUAUCCAAGGCAACGAUACGUAAGCCGACCUGAGAGGGUGAUCGGACCACACUGGAAUCUGAGAGCACGGUACCAGACUCCUACGGGAGGCAGCAGUAGGGAAUCUUCCGCAUAUGGACGAAAGUCUGACGGAGCAACGCCGCGUGAGUGAUGAAGGUUUUCGGAUCUGUAAAACUCUGUUAUAGGGAAGACACAGA
This 197-nucleotide ribosomal RNA is filed under the name Staphylococcus equorum. RNAcentral's name for it is "partial 16S ribosomal RNA". It matches the Rfam family "Bacterial small subunit ribosomal RNA", at positions 264 to 454 of the family's 1533-position model. Lineage: Bacteria; Bacillati; Bacillota; Bacilli; Caryophanales; Staphylococcaceae. The record is from RNAcentral.